CAGCAGCCACGGUAAUACGAAGGGUGCAAGCGUUAAUCGGAAUUACUGGGCGUAAAGCGCACGCAGGCGGUCUGUCAAGUCAGAUGUGAAAUCCCCGGGCUUAACCUGGGAACUGCAUUUGAAACUGGCAGGCUAGAGUCUUGUAGAGGGGGGUAGAAUUCCAGGUGUAGCGGUGAAAUGCGUAGAGAUCUGGAGGAAUACCGGUGGCGAAGGCGGCCCCCUGGACAAAGACUGACGCUCAGGUGCGAAAGCGUGGGGAGCAAACAGGAUUAGAUACCCCAGUAGUCCCUGUCUCUUAUAC
This 301-nucleotide ribosomal RNA is filed under the name uncultured bacterium. Its description in RNAcentral is "partial 16S ribosomal RNA". It matches the Rfam family "Bacterial small subunit ribosomal RNA", at positions 509 to 807 of the family's 1533-position model. The record is from RNAcentral.